AUAUAUUCACUUUCCACGUAAAUGAAGUCGCGGGUAAAUUUUAGCGUUAUGCCAAAGUAACUAUUCCACGCGGACAAAGUCGCGGGCAAAAGCUAGUUUAAUAAUGUUUGUCUUCUAUGCGUUCACGAUUUCGAUAACAUUUGAUGCUUCACGGAAGUAUUUUUGUCAUAGUAUCAUUAACGUCGGACAUGUGGCGAAUAUGUUCAAAACAGUAAAUGGUUUUAUUUCAUUACUAGCUUUAGCCCGCGACUCCGUCCGCGUGGCAUAACGCUAAAUUGUACCUCCACUUCAUUUACGUAGAAAGUGAAAAUAUUUUUGAAUUACAGAAUGUUAAGGAGCUAUUUAAACCCCUAUUUUGAAACAUUCUUUAUUGUUGCUCCACUUGUAUUGGUCUUACCGUGAUAUUAUAUAACCUUCUUCAAUAAAUGGGCUAUCUAACACUGAAAGAAUUUUUCAAAUCGGACCAGUAGUUCCUGAGAUUUGCGCGUUCAAACAAACAAACUCUUCAGCUUUAUAAUAUUAGUAUAGAUUUCACUAUCAGAAUUGGUCACGGCGGAACAUGACCGGCCCCCUGAUCACGUAAAAAUUUGCGACAGCCACAAUUUUGCAGAUGUUGUGCAGACGCGUCGCGACCGAUCGCAAAACGUCAAAUUAUUUCGUAUCACGUACCGCGAUUGUUCGCUUACCGCUUACUGCAGUUUUCUGUCAUACAACUAGCGCCAGUCGCAAUCGGGUAGCAAUAAUUGGCACUAAAAAGCCACAUUACUUUUUUUUUUUUUGCUGAACAAACCGGCAAAUGAAUUUAUAAAAGCGCGUUACAUAUAAACAUUUUAAAAUGUUUAAGUGGAAUUCACGUUUGAAACGCCAAGCGAGAGCUGCUAAUUCUGUUCUUUUCGAUGAAGCGUUACUAAAAAUAAGUGAUCUAAUAAUAAUUUUUGCUUUAUUUUGAAUAAUAGCUACAAAAAUGUAAUUGUGUCAUGUCAAACACUGAUAACAUUUUUUUUUGUACUUAAUCGUUUGAUAAUUUGUAAUCAGAUAGUUGUUUACGUUACGAACCUAUUUUAAAAAAGAAUGGAUCAAAAUUAUAGCCUAAUUUAUUAAUUUCAUUAUCAAUUAACCCAGUUUUUCGUCGACGAAGCCAUCUUAAGAGAAGCUUCAUUGCAAAUAUCAGGCCGAUAUUUAGUAAGUUAUUUUUAUUCAUUAACCAGGUACUCUUUGCACUCACUCACUGCAGUAAGAAUGUUAAUCAAUCAUUAUAUUAUCUAGACUAUAGCGGACAACAAACAAGAGUGGACACAUCGUGAGCUGUAGUUGUAGAAAGAGGAGAAAAUGGAAACUAAGGCGAACCACUGGCUCAUGCAGCUUUCAUUUCAGCAGAGGCUGUUCGUACGCAGGCAGAGGCCGCGCAUCUUUCAGAUGAGAUAUAUAAAAAAAUUCAAGGAAUUGACCAAUAUCGGCAAAAACCUUGUUUAAAAUAAUAAGUUCAAUUUUGUUUUAAUUUUAGCUGAGUCCAUAAUAGUUUAUAUUACCAUAAAAACGAAAUAGCGCUUGUUACAAUAGUCAAGCAAAUCCAAAUAUAUACGUUUUACUUUAGGCUGGUACUACAGUAAAUUUUAUGACACUAGUGAGUAUAUUUUACGCUAAUAAAACUACUCUCAACUUAGCAUUUCAAAAUGACUAUUUAUUUUUUUAUUGCUAAGAUGGGUGGACGAGCUUACAGCCCACCUGGUGUUAAGUGGUUACUGGAGCCCAUAGCCAUCUACAACGUAAAUGCGGCACCCACCUUGAGAUAUAAGUUCUAAGGUCUCAGUAUAGUUAUAACGGCUGCUCUACCCUUCAAAACGAAACGCAUUAAAGCUUCACGGUAGAAAUAGGCGGAGUGGUUGUACCUACUCGUGCGGACUCACAAGUGGUCCUACCACCAGUAGAAUACCAGUAUUUAGCUUCAUUGUAUAUUUUGUACUCACAGUAUUCGGCAUGUUCUGCUUCUAGUCUAUAGGGUUAUAGAGCUAUCACCUUGCUAUCAUUCUACUUACCUCGGCCCCAAGUUCAGUUAUGUUUCUUUGAAGUUAUCGGCAGUCGAUAUUAUAUUUCAAUUGUGGCUUCAAUUUCAUGCGGCAAGAAUUACAAACAAACUACGAUUUCCUAAUUUAAGAAUUAUUAUUCAAAUAAAACAAAAUUACACAAAAAAAAUUAUUAUCAAACUUAUCUAACGACCGUCUGGUGUAGUGGUAAGUGACAUGGUCGCUACACAAGGGGGUCGCGGGUUCGAAUCCCGCCAAGGGAAGAUAUUUGUAUGAUAAAUAUAAAUGUCUUUUCCAGGGUUUGGAAUUCCAGGGGAUGUAUAUUAAAUAUAUGUAUGUGUAUAAUAAAAAUCCUACAUUUAUUUCCGUUAUCUGGUAUUUAUAUUUAUAUUAUUAUUAUUAUCACAAUGAACAAAAAUCAGUGGUGGUUGAUCAACAUUUUGUCUAAAUUAUGAAUUAUGUUUUUCAUUUUGUAAGUAAUAUUCAUGUAAGUAUCCAACAAAAUUUAGAAGAAUUAUGAAUUACUAGUCGAUUUGUUAUUCAUUCUAUUCCAUUAUUCAAAACAGCAGUAUAUACAAUAAUAUAUAUAACAACACAACAUACAAACGGGGUUAACAUAAAGAUAAAAUGAUACAGAACAAAUUGAGCACGACAGAUUAAAACAUUGUCUUAAUAAAACAACCUCACAAUUUUGCUUUCAAAUAGUUAUGAAUCCAUCCUUUAUAUAGUAAAGGUAAAAACACAAAAAUGUUAAGGAAAUAUGUAUAUUUCCACUAAGCACAAUUAAAAAAUUAUAGACACAAAUAAUUAGGCUAUUCUUGCCCUCUCAGUUCACAUAAUUAAGAACAGCAGUUUUCAAAAUAUCUACAUAAAAUUACUAGAAUACAGAGGUUGAGACUAAAUUUAAUGUCUGUUCUCCACAAUCCAAUUGAACCACCCUUGAAUGUUGACAUGGUGCUAAGUGCUGUGUUUCCUCUUCUCUCCCAAAAAAUACAAUGUUAUGAGUUUGAUAAGAAACAUCAAUUUCAGCAUCUUCGUCAGAGAGUUGGGGCACUGGAAACCCAUGUGUGUUUGCCAUGUUAUGCAAUACAAGCUAACAAUUAUGGUCUUGGCCAUCAUAAUAUGAUGAUCAUAAUGCAGUACUCUAUGUACCAACAAGCAUCUCCAACUGGCUUUCAAUACUCACAAUGGUCAACUGUGUUCCU
This is a long non-coding RNA of Bombyx mori (domestic silkworm), 3229 nucleotides long. RefSeq lists it as uncharacterized. Lineage: Eukaryota; Metazoa; Arthropoda; Insecta; Lepidoptera; Bombycidae. The transcript has 2 exons. The record is from RefSeq and is a predicted model, not a curated record.